AUCCCACACACUGUUUAACUUACUCUGAAGCUGUGAAAGAUGUUGGAGACUAGAUUAGAGAAGAAACUAGUUCUUCAAACUGCCAUGCAGUAGCAUUUUUCGUUAGUGCUAUGUUUAUGCCAUGCAAACUGCGUUCUAGAGCCCGAAUUCGACUGCCUAUGCUGCUGUAGGGAGGCUGUCUUGUUUAUACCUCUAAAACAACAACAGCAAAGAUUCUAAUUUUCAGAGCACCAAACAGCACAAAUGCGGAAUUAACGAAUCAUGGAGUUUUCAUGUGCCCUGUCUUUUGGGGGGCCAACUUCAUGGAGCUGUGCAGCAGCUAGUUCUGGAAUGAAGGUGUAUUAAUGGGUCAAAGGGAGUCAACAGGGACAGUCGCUUUCUUUUAAUGUCCAACUUUAUUAAAAAAAAAAAAAAAAGAUUAUUCACCCUGUUCUGUGCUUAAAUCCUGCGCUGCUUCUUCAAUUGAUGACUUACGAACUGAUGAAAGUUCUCUCUCCUAAAUGAAAAGAAAGCAGUAAGCCUAAGGAAAGUUGUUUUAAAAACUGUGCAAUUAUAAAUUCAUGUUAAUAUUUAAAAAUCAAGCUGUUAUUUAGUUGUUUUACAAACUAGCCAUUUCCAUGCAAAGAUCAUUAAAAUAAGCUGAUGCAAUACUAAACAGACCUGGGGUUUGGUGAGAGGCCUUGACUCCCUACAGAAAAAAAAAGUGAAAUAAUGACUUCUCAUACAUUAGGGAAUUAAAAGAAAUGUAUUGAUACUAAAACCACAAGGUGGAAUUACCUCUGCUGUGAAUAUUUCAUCUUCCAGAUAAAGAAUAUAAGGACAGCCAAGAGAACAACAAUAAGUGCAAUAAAUACUCCAUAUAUCCCUCUAGGAGUAUCACCUGGAAAGGAAAAAAAAAAAAGCUGUUUUCAGAAUGAAAUCAAAAUACUGAAUUUAUAUUUAAUGGACACCGUUGCCAAAGGUAACAUAUGUCUCUCACCUAUAUAUACAAACAGGCUCGCAGAUGCUCGACCAAACUGGUUUGAGGCCUCACACAAGUAGAGUCCACUGAGAUCUGCGCUGGCUGCUGACAACAUCAGUCUGCUCCCUCCAUUUUCAACUGAAGCACUGGACAUUGUGCCAUUGACUCUAAAAAAAUAUAAUGUUUACUACAAACUAUGCUAUGAGGUAUAGUCUGUUUGGACACAAACUAUAUCCACAGCAAGUAAAUAUUUUGUUUGUAAUGAGCAAAUGUAAUUUAAAUUUAGCGCUGACAGCUGUAAAUUUUGUACAA
This 1273-nucleotide long non-coding RNA is filed under the name Scleropages formosus (Asian bonytongue). RNAcentral's name for it is "lncRNA (ENSSFOG00015032643.1)". Lineage: Eukaryota; Metazoa; Chordata; Actinopteri; Osteoglossiformes; Osteoglossidae. The record is from RNAcentral.